This 253-nucleotide ribosomal RNA is filed under the name uncultured prokaryote. Its description in RNAcentral is "partial 16S ribosomal RNA". It matches the Rfam family "Bacterial small subunit ribosomal RNA", at positions 525 to 777 of the family's 1533-position model. The record is from RNAcentral.
ACGGAGGGUGCAAGCGUUAAUCGGAAUUACUGGGCGUAAAGCGUGCGCAGGCGGUUUGUUAAGUCUGUUGUGAAAUCCCCGAGCUCAACUUGGGAAUUGCAAUGGAUACUGGCAGGCUGGAGUACGGUAGAGGAAGGUGGAAUUCCCGGUGUAGCAGUGAAAUGCGUAGAGAUCGGGAGGAACACCAGUGGCGAAGGCGGCUCACUGGACUGGUAUUGACGCUGAGGUGCGAAAGCGUGGGGAGCAAACAGGA